UACAGAGGUCUCAAGCGUUGUUCGGAUUCAUUGGGCGUAAAGGGUGCGCAGGCGGCGCCGUUAGUCGGGUGUGAAAUCCCGGGGCUUAACCCCGGAACUGCACUCGAUACUGCGGUGCUCGAGAGCUGGAGAGGAGAUUGGAAUUCCUGGUGUAGCAGUGAAAUGCGUAGAUAUCAGGAGGAACGCCAAUGGCGAAGGCAGAUCUCUGGACAGCUUCUGACGCUGGGGCACGAAGGCCAGGGGAGCAAACGGG
RNAcentral lists this ribosomal RNA (253 nucleotides) under uncultured bacterium. RNAcentral describes it as "partial 16S ribosomal RNA". It matches the Rfam family "Bacterial small subunit ribosomal RNA", at positions 524 to 776 of the family's 1533-position model. The record is from RNAcentral.